RNAcentral lists this unclassified non-coding RNA (423 nucleotides) under soil metagenome. RNAcentral's name for it is "partial contains 5.8S ribosomal RNA, internal transcribed spacer 2, and large subunit ribosomal RNA". The stretch from base 1 to 120 matches the Rfam family "5.8S ribosomal RNA", at positions 35 to 154 of the family's 154-position model. The record is from RNAcentral.
GAUGAAGAACGUAGCGAAAUGCGAUACGUAAUGUGAAUUGCAGAAUUCAGUGAAUCAUCGAAUCUUUGAACGCAUAUUGCGCUCUCUGGUAUUCCGGAGAGCAUGCUUGUUUGAGUAUCAGUAAACACCUCAACUCCCUUUCUUCUUGAAAUGGAGCUGGACUUGAGUGAUCCCAACGCUUUAUUCAUAAAGUGGCGGGUUACUUGAAAUGCAGGUGCAGCUGGACUUUUCUCUGAGCUAUAAGCAUAUCUAUUUAGUCUGCCUCAAAACAGAUUAUUACCUUUGCUGCAGCUAACAUAAAGGAGAUUAGUUCUUGUGCUGACUGAUGCAGGAUUCACAAAGACCGCUUCGGCUGUCUUUGUAAACUCGAUCUCAAAUCAAGUAAGACUACCCGCUGAACUUAAGCAUAUCAUAAGCGGAGGA